RNAcentral lists this ribosomal RNA (438 nucleotides) under uncultured bacterium. RNAcentral's name for it is "bacterial SSU rRNA". It matches the Rfam family "Bacterial small subunit ribosomal RNA", at positions 954 to 1392 of the family's 1533-position model. The record is from RNAcentral.
GCAUAACGCGAAGAACCUUACCCACCUUUGACAUGUACGGAAUCCUUUAGAGAUAGAGGAGUGCUCGAAAGAGAGCCGUAACACAGGUGCUGCAUGGCUGUCGUCAGCUCGUGUCGUGAGAUGUUGGGUUAAGUCCCGCAACGAGCGCAACCCUUGCCAUUAGUUGCUACAUUUAGUUGAGCACUCUAAUGGGACUGCCGGUGACAAACCGGAGGAAGGUGGGGAUGACGUCAAGUCCUCAUGGCCCUUAUAGGUGGGGCUACACACGUCAUACAAUGGCUGGUACAAAGGGUUGCCAGCCCGCGAGGGGGAGCUAAUCCCAUAAAGCCAGUCGUAGUCCGGAUCGCAGUCUGCAACUCGACUGCGUGAAGUCGGAAUCGCUAGUAAUCGUGGAUCAGGAUGUCACGGUGAAUACGUUCCCGGGUCUUGUACACACCG